This 292-nucleotide ribosomal RNA is filed under the name uncultured bacterium. RNAcentral describes it as "partial 16S ribosomal RNA". It matches the Rfam family "Bacterial small subunit ribosomal RNA", at positions 505 to 796 of the family's 1533-position model. The record is from RNAcentral.
GUGUCAGCAGCCGCGGUAAUACGUAGGGUGCAAGCGUUGUCCGGAAUUAUUGGGCGUAAAGGGCUCGUAGGCGGUCCAUCGCGUCGGGAGUGAAAAGCUGGGGCUUAACCCCAGUCCUGCUUCCGAUACGGGUGGACUAGAGGUAGGUAGGGGAGAUCGGAAUUCCUGGUGUAGCGGUGAAAUGCGCAGAUAUCAGGAGGAACACCGGUGGCGAAGGCGGAUCUCUGGGCCUUACCUGACGCUGAGGAGCGAAAGCAUGGGGAGCAAACAGGAUUAGAAACCCUCGUAGUCC